RNAcentral lists this ribosomal RNA (497 nucleotides) under uncultured bacterium. RNAcentral's name for it is "partial 16S ribosomal RNA". It matches the Rfam family "Bacterial small subunit ribosomal RNA", at positions 28 to 507 of the family's 1533-position model. The record is from RNAcentral.
GAUGAACGCUGGCGGCGUGCCUAAUACAUGCAAGUCGAGCGAACAGACGAGGAGCUUGCUCCUCUGACGUUAGCGGCGGACGGGUGAGUAACACGUGGAUAACCUACCUAUAAGACUGGGAUAACUUCGGGAAACCGGAGCUAAUACCGGAUAAUAUAUUGAACCGCAUGGUUCAAUAGUGAAAGACGGUUUUGCUGUCACUUAUAGAUGGAUCCGCGCCGCAUUAGCUAGUUGGUAAGGUAACGGCUUACCAAGGCGACGAUGCGUAGCCGACCUGAGAGGGUGAUCGGCCACACUGGAACUGAGACGCGGUCCAGACUCCUACGGGAGGCAGCAGUAGGGAAUCUUCCGCAAUGGGCGAAAGCCUGACGGAGCAACGCCGCGUGAGUGAUGAAGGUCUUCGGAUCGUAAAACUCUGUUAUUAGUGAAGAACAAAUGUGUAAGUAACUAUGCACGUCUUGACGGUACCUAAUCAGAAAGCCACGGCUAACUACGUG